AGCGUAUAUUAAAGUUGUUGCAGUUAAAAAGCUCGUAGUUGAAUUUCGGGAUUAAUAUGUUGGUCGUGCCUUGGUACGUACUGGUAUUAUUGAUUCCUACCUUCUGAAGAACCUCGAUGUCAUUAAUUUGGUGUCUUGGGGAAUCAGGACCGUUACUUUGAAAAAAUUAGAGUGUUUAAAGCAGGCUCGCGCUUGAAUACAUUAGCAUGGAAUAAUGAAAUAGGACGUUUGAUUCUAUUUUGUUGGUUUCUAGGAUCGACGUAAUGAUUAAUAGGGAUAGUUGGGGGCAUUAGUAUUCAAUUGUCAGAGGUGAAAUUCUCGGAUUUAUUGAAGACUGACUACUGCGAAAGCAUUUGCCAAGGAUGUUUUCAUUAAUCAAGAACGAAAGUUAGGGGAUCGAAGACGAUCAGAUACCGUCGUAGUCUUAACCAUAAACCAUGCCGACUAGGGAUCGGAUGAUGUUAAUUUUUUAAUGACUCAUUC
RNAcentral lists this ribosomal RNA (483 nucleotides) under uncultured Glomeromycotina. RNAcentral describes it as "SSU rRNA". It matches the Rfam family "Eukaryotic small subunit ribosomal RNA", at positions 596 to 1081 of the family's 1831-position model. Lineage: Eukaryota; Fungi; Glomeromycota. The record is from RNAcentral.